This 247-nucleotide ribosomal RNA is filed under the name uncultured bacterium. Its description in RNAcentral is "partial 16S ribosomal RNA". It matches the Rfam family "Bacterial small subunit ribosomal RNA", at positions 118 to 348 of the family's 1533-position model. The record is from RNAcentral.
UGGGUAACCUGCCUCAAAGAGGGGAAUAGCCUCCCCGAAAAGGGGAGAUUAAUACCGCAUAAUAUGUUUAGGUCGCAUGACUUUAACAUCAAAGGAUUUUCUUUUAGAAAUUCCACUUUGAGAUGGACCCCGCGGCGCAUUAGCUAGUUGGUGAGGUAACGGCUCACCAAGGCAACGAUGCGUAGCCGACCUGAGAGGGUGAUCGGCCACAUUGGAACUGAGACACGGUCCAGACUCCGUAGGGAGG